Molecule: ribosomal RNA, 45 nt
Filed under: Trebouxia sp. P-57-Ia
Lineage: Eukaryota; Viridiplantae; Chlorophyta; Trebouxiophyceae; Trebouxiales; Trebouxiaceae
Description: partial 18S ribosomal RNA
Source: RNAcentral
GUUCGUACCAAGGUUUCCCGAAGUGAACCUGCGGAAGGAUCAUUG